UCCCUUCUCUCCUUCCUUUUCCUUUCCUCCUUCCUUUCCUCCUCUCCUCUUUUCCCUCCCCUUUCUCUCCUUUUUCUUCCUUUUCUCCUUCCUUUUUUCUUCUCCUUCCCUCUUCAAAGUAAAUCUUUUUUUAACUCAAUUGGUUUCUACUUUGGUAUUGGAGGUCUUUGCAGCUUCACACCUGCUCCUCUUUGUUCAUUAGCUGGAUCUCAGUGUUAUGCUUGGUUCCACUCGGCGUGAUAAGUUAUCUAUCGCUGAGGACACUGUAAAAGGUGGCCAAGGUAAAUGCAGAUGAACCGCUUCUAAUAGUCCAUUGACUUGGACAAUACUUUUAUGAUCUGAUCUCAAAUCAGGUAGGACUACCCGCUGAACUUAAGC
RNAcentral lists this unclassified non-coding RNA (378 nucleotides) under plant metagenome. Its description in RNAcentral is "partial contains internal transcribed spacer 2 and large subunit ribosomal RNA". The record is from RNAcentral.